UGCUAAUUAAUGUUCCAAACAGCAGCUUAAUAAGAGCAAAGUUAUUUUGAUAAAUUCUUUAUUAUUUUCAAAAUUAAUUGAAACAAAGGCAGUGUGUCUCAACAGAAAUA
Molecule: long non-coding RNA, 110 nt
Organism: Octopus sinensis (East Asian common octopus)
Lineage: Eukaryota; Metazoa; Mollusca; Cephalopoda; Octopoda; Octopodidae
Exons: 3
Source: RefSeq, a predicted model, not a curated record